Molecule: ribosomal RNA, 253 nt
Filed under: uncultured bacterium
Lineage: Bacteria
Description: partial 16S ribosomal RNA
Rfam family: Bacterial small subunit ribosomal RNA
Source: RNAcentral
UACGUAGGGGGCAAGCGUUGUCCGGAAUCAUUGGGCGUAAAGGGCGUGUAGGCGGCCCGGUAAGUCAGCUGUGAAAGUCCAGGGCUCAACCCUGGGAUGGCGGUGGAUACUGUCGGGCUCGAGUCCGGAAGAGGGGUGUGGAAUUCCUGGUGUAGCGGUGAAAUGCGCAGAUAUCAGGAGGAACACCGGUGGCGAAGGCGGGUCUCUGGGCCGAUACUGACGCUGAGGAGCGAAAGCGUGGGGAGCGAACAGG